UUGAUCCUGGCUCAGAAUCAACGCUGGCGGCGUGCCUAACACAUGCAAGUCGAACGAGAAAGUGGAGCAAUCCAUGAGUAAAGUGGCGACCGGGUGAGUUACACGUGACCAAUCUACCCUUGAGUGGGGGAUAACCUCGGGAAACCGGGUCUAAUACCGCAUAACAUCUUCGGAUCGGAAGAACUGAAGAUCAAAGGAGUAAUUCGCUUAAGGAGGAGGUCGCGGCUGAUUAGCUAGUUGGCGGGGUAAUGGCCCACCAAGGCUUAGAUCGGUAGCCGGCCUGAGAGGGCGCACGGCCAUACUGGAACUGAAACACGGUCCAGACUCCUACGGGAGGCAGCAGUGGGGAUUUUUGCGCAAUGGGGGAAACCCUGACGCAGCAACGCCGCGUGGAGGAUGUAGUCCCUUGGGACGUAAACUCCUUUCGACCCGGACGAUAAUGACGGUACUGGUGGAAGAAGCCCCGGCUAACUUCGUGCCAGCAGCCGCGGUAAUAAGGU
This 500-nucleotide ribosomal RNA is filed under the name uncultured Acidobacteriota bacterium. RNAcentral describes it as "bacterial SSU rRNA". It matches the Rfam family "Bacterial small subunit ribosomal RNA", at positions 13 to 529 of the family's 1533-position model. The record is from RNAcentral. Lineage: Bacteria; Pseudomonadati; Acidobacteriota.